GACGGGGGAUGCAAGUGUUAUCCGGAAUCACUGGGCGUAAAGCGUCUGCAGGCGGUUUCCUAAGUCCACUGUUAAACCUUGAGGCUCAACCUCAAAUCUGCAUUGGAAACUAGGAGACUUGAGUAUAGUAGGGGUAGAGGGAAUUUCCAGUGGAGCGGUGAAAUGCGUAGAUAUUGGAAAGAACACCGAUGGCGAAGGCACUCUACUGGGCUAUUACUGACACUCAGAGACGAAAGCUAGGGGAGCAAAUGGG
This 253-nucleotide ribosomal RNA is filed under the name uncultured bacterium. RNAcentral describes it as "partial 16S ribosomal RNA". It matches the Rfam family "Bacterial small subunit ribosomal RNA", at positions 524 to 776 of the family's 1533-position model. The record is from RNAcentral.